CCUACGGGAGGCAGCAGUGGGGAAUAUUGGGCAAUGGAGGCAACUCUGACCCAGCAACGCCGCGUGAGCGAUGAAGGUCUUCGGAUUGUAAAGCUCUGUCGCAGGGGCGGAGGAAGAAGGGACCCCGGUAAGAAAGCCCCGCAAACUACGUGCCAGCAGCCGCGGUAAUACGGAGGGGGCUUGCGUUGUCCGGAAUUACUGGGCGUAAAGGGAGUGUAGACGGCUUGUCAAGUUAAGUGUGAAAGCCUGCGGCUUAACCGCAGAAUUGCACUUAAAACUGACUCGCUAGAGUGCAGGAGAGGUGAGUGGAAUUCCUAGUGUAGCGGUGGAAUGCGUAGAUAUUAGGAGGAACACCAGAGGCGAAGGCGGCUCACUGGACUGUAACUGACGUUGAGGCUCGAAAGCGUGGGUAGCAAACAGGAUUAGAUACCCUGGUAGUC
This 440-nucleotide ribosomal RNA is filed under the name uncultured bacterium. RNAcentral describes it as "partial 16S ribosomal RNA". It matches the Rfam family "Bacterial small subunit ribosomal RNA", at positions 338 to 795 of the family's 1533-position model. The record is from RNAcentral.